This 691-nucleotide ribosomal RNA is filed under the name Firmicutes bacterium 00YIV. RNAcentral's name for it is "bacterial SSU rRNA". It matches the Rfam family "Bacterial small subunit ribosomal RNA", at positions 81 to 761 of the family's 1533-position model. The record is from RNAcentral. Lineage: Bacteria; Bacillati; Bacillota.
UAGAUAGAUUCCGCGGAGGGGUGGGUGGGGGGGCCGUCACCUGGGUGUUGGAUUGGGAUAAGGGGGGGCGGGUCCACCUAAUGGGUUAGUUAUUUUGAACCGCAUGGUGGGAAUUGCCAGAUGGUUUCGGCUAUCGCUUACAGAUGGACCCGCGGCGCAUUAGCUAGUUGGUGAGGUAACGGCUCACCCAGGCAACGAUGCGUAGCCUACCUGAGAGGGUGAUCGGCCACACUGGGACCGAAACCCGGCCCAAACUCCUACGGGGGGCAACAGUAGGGAAUCUUCCGCAAUGGACGAAAGUCUGACGGAGCAACGCCACGGGAACCAUAAAGGCCUUCGGGUCGUAAAGUUAUGUUGUGAGGGAAGAACAUGUACCAUAGUAACUGCUGGUACCUUGACGGUACCUAACCAGAAAGCCACGGCUAACUACGUGCCAAUAGCCACGGUAAUACGUAGGUGGCAAGCGUUUGCCGGAAUUAUUGGGCGUAAAGCGCGCGCAGGUUGUUUCUUAAGUCUGAUGUGAAAGCCCACGGCUCAACCGUGGAGCGUCAUUGGAAAACUGGCGAACUAGAGUGCAGAAGAGGAAAGUGUAAUUCCAAGUGUAGCGGAGAAAUGCGAGGAGAUUUGGAGGAACACGCGACGCCAAGGGCGACUUUCUGGUCUGUAACUGAACACUGAGGGCGCGAACACC